This is a non-coding RNA of Musa acuminata subsp. malaccensis (wild Malaysian banana), 900 nucleotides long. Lineage: Eukaryota; Viridiplantae; Streptophyta; Magnoliopsida; Zingiberales; Musaceae. The record is from RefSeq and is a predicted model, not a curated record.
AUGGGUCGGAUCCACCCAAUCACCUCCUUUUUCCGUGUGUGAGGGAUUCAUUUCCCCCUCAUAAUUACUACACCAAAGCUCGUUUUAGGUCGCAUCUUCCUCCCUGGUCAAGCCAUUUCUCUAAGCUGCCUUGCCGUCCACAUGCUACAUGCAUGUGAAGCAAUAAAUUAAAGCGAGCCCGACAGGGGAGCAGAGUGAACCACUUUGUAUUCUUCCACAGGUCACACCCACGGAGGGCACCGGAGGGAAAGGAGGGGUGAAAGAAGCUUGCCGAGUGCAGUCUUCUCUCCCAAUCGAUGCCGAGUGCUGGCAGGGAUUACUUGCUAUCUCAGGGGAAGAAACGAAUCCACGUUCUCUCCUCGGACGCAAAGGGAAGACGAAGUGAUAUUAAAGGCGCUUUUGCUUUGACCUCAGCUCUGCUCCGCGGCCGUCUCCAGCAAGCAAUGGACAAAAGCAAGCAGCAUCAUUGAGGGUGAACGUGCAGCAGCAGCCCACAUCAAAAUGGUCGAAAACUUCACAUCCAUGGAUUGCCUCCAUGAAUCUAUGUGACACUGGAGAUUGAGCUGCAAAAACCCACCAGAAUCUAUCAAUUGCUCCAAGCAAACUACAGAGUUCCACAGUGCUGCUUCGAUGUACACAAAAGUGGGACAGGACAACAGCUCACGAGACAACAGGAUGAGCCGAGAGUUAAAGGCCUUUAUUAUGUGCCGGGAAGAUGGCUCUCCGUGUAUCUGUCAUAGAUAAUGGCACAUCCAAAGGGGACCUCUUUGCUCAUCUACUCAUCCGACCACUAUUUGUUUUCUCUCAAACGUCAGGAAUCUGUGCUGGGAUUUGAUCUGCUCCUGUAAUAGUUUUAGAUUGUCACUCAGCCUGAUCAUAAUUGAAUCUCUUCAGUGAUCA